AUCCAAUAAACCAAUUGAACUCGAUCCAAUCAAGCCCAAACCAAAUCUAAUUAAAUCAUAUUUAAUUAGACUUAAUCUCAGCCCAUUGACUUAAUCAAAUUAAGCCAAUUAGCAAUCGAAUUGGUAAUCGAUCCUCCUGCAACACUUGCACUAGGUUAAAUAUCAAUCGUAUUGAUCAUUUAACCCUAGAACGAUUCUUAAUCGUUGAUCAACCAUCCGAUCGGAUCAUGAACUCUAAUGUGUGUGAUCUCAUAGGUCCGAACCUAAGC
This 269-nucleotide long non-coding RNA is filed under the name Elaeis guineensis (African oil palm). RNAcentral describes it as "long non-coding RNA (EGUI_LNC076425)". The record is from RNAcentral. Lineage: Eukaryota; Viridiplantae; Streptophyta; Magnoliopsida; Arecales; Arecaceae.